UACGUAGGGUGCGAGCGUUGCCCGGAUUUAUUGGGCGUAAAGGGCGCGUAGGCGGCUCUGCACGUCCGUUGUGAAAUCGCCCGGCUCAACUGGGCGGGGUCAGCGGAUACGGCAGAGCUUGAGCAAGCUAGGGGGCAAUGGAAUUCCCGGUGUAGUGGUGGAAUGCGUAGAUAUUGGGAAGAACACCUGAGGCGAAGGCGGGUUGCUGGGCCGACACUGACGCUGAGGCACGAAAGCGUGGGGAGCAAACAGG
RNAcentral lists this ribosomal RNA (253 nucleotides) under uncultured bacterium. RNAcentral's name for it is "partial 16S ribosomal RNA". It matches the Rfam family "Bacterial small subunit ribosomal RNA", at positions 524 to 776 of the family's 1533-position model. The record is from RNAcentral.